This 562-nucleotide ribosomal RNA is filed under the name uncultured bacterium. RNAcentral's name for it is "bacterial SSU rRNA". It matches the Rfam family "Bacterial small subunit ribosomal RNA", at positions 338 to 916 of the family's 1533-position model. The record is from RNAcentral.
CCUACGGGAGGCAGCAGUGGGGAAUAUUGCGCAAUGGGGGCAACCCUGACGCAGCGACGCCGUGUGGGUGAUGAAGGCCUUCGGGUUGUAAAGCUCUGUUUAGGGGGAAGAUAGUGACGGUACCCCUGGAGGAAGCCCCGGCUAACUACGUGCCAGCAGCCGCGGUAAUACGUAGGGGGCGAGCGUUGUCCGGAAUUAUUGGGCGUAAAGGGCGUGUAGGCGGUUAUGCAAGUCGGCUGUGAAAUUCCCCGGCUUAACCGGGGGCUUGCAGUUGAAACUGUGUGGCUUGAGUGCUGGAGAGGAAAGCGGAAUUCCUAGUGUAGCGGUGAAAUGCGUAGAUAUUAGGAGGAACACCAGUGGCGAAGGCGGCUUUCUGGACAGUAACUGACGCUGAGGCGCGAAAGCGUGGGGAGCAAACAGGAUUAGAUACCCUGGUAGUCCACGCCGUAAACGAUGGAUACUAGGUGUAGGAGGUAUCGACCCCUUCUGUGCCGGAGUUAACACAAUAAGUAUCCCACCUGGGGAGUACGGCCGCAAGGUUGAAACUCAAAUGAAUUGACGG